Cyprinodon variegatus (sheepshead minnow) is the source of this 210-nucleotide long non-coding RNA. RefSeq lists it as uncharacterized. NCBI's taxonomy places the organism in Eukaryota, Metazoa, Chordata, Actinopteri, Cyprinodontiformes, Cyprinodontidae. The transcript is spliced from 3 exons. The record is from RefSeq and is a predicted model, not a curated record.
GGCUUUGAUGCUGGAAAACCUACAGAGGUCAUCAUCUUCUCACAGUGGGCUGCAGCCUAAUUCAUAGAUAGGAGAAGAGAUGUGUCAGAACAGUUUCAUUAAACAGUACCUGGCCCAGCAGCAAGAGCUCCUACGACAGAGACUUGCGAGAGAGGCCCAGCGGGAGGAGGAGGCCGAUGAAAGCCCAGCUGGAGCAGAGGAAGAUGAAGA